GCGGGUGUGGUCUAAUCUGGUAGGACAGAAGCUUCCCAUGCUUCUAGUCCGGGUUCAAAUCCCGGCACCCGCA
RNAcentral lists this transfer RNA (73 nucleotides) under Thermoplasmatales archaeon SW_10_69_26. RNAcentral's name for it is "tRNA-Gly". It matches the Rfam family "tRNA". From Rfam's summary of the family: Transfer RNA (tRNA) molecules are approximately 80 nucleotides in length. The record is from RNAcentral. Lineage: Archaea; Methanobacteriati; Thermoplasmatota; Thermoplasmata; Thermoplasmatales.